This 2319-nucleotide long non-coding RNA is filed under the name Sus scrofa (pig). RNAcentral's name for it is "lncRNA (ENSSSCG00060006031.1)". Lineage: Eukaryota; Metazoa; Chordata; Mammalia; Artiodactyla; Suidae. The record is from RNAcentral.
UUCCCAGUCUAGGGGUUGAAUCAGAGCUGUAGCUGCUGACCUACACCACAGCCACAGCAACGCCAGAUCCAAGCUGAGUCUUCCACCUACACCACAGCUCAUGGCAACUCCGAAUCUUUAACCCCUGAGAUGGGCCAGAGAUAGAGCCUUACGGAUACUAGUUGGAUUCAUUUCUGCUGAGCCAUGGUGCAGGAACUCCCCAUUCAAAUUUAAACAUAUAUUUACAAGCAAGUGGGAUAUAAGAUACAACUCUGUGUACAAAAUAAUAUUCACAAUAAUUUGGAGCGUGAUAAUAUUAGUGUGUUUAAUAAUUUUCAGUGCAAUAACAUUAGUGUGUUUUUCCUUCAUGAAUGAUUUUCUUCAGUGUUCCACCAAGGAUGUCUGUCCCUACACAUAUGAGUUACCUCAUGCUUGGAGGUAAGGGGAACACAGAGGAACCUGAAAACCAAAAGGGCAUAUUCUUUUUUUUUUUUUCUUUCCUUUUGUAGCCAGACCUGUAACAUAUGGAAGUUCCCAGGAGGCUAGGGGUCCACUCAGAUCUGCAGCUGCCAGUCUAUGCCACAGCCACAACAACAACAGACCUGAGCCUCAUCUUGGGCUCUUCCUGCCACUAGACUGGACUAAAGACUCUGGUUGGGAGAAGAGAAGAGGAGGGACCCCAUGACAGAAACAGAGAUGGAACAACCCCGGACAUCUGCCUGGAGCAGGUGCUAUCAAUCACCAGCUAAGUGGAAACCUGGCUCCCUCACUGCCCUCUGCUGAUAGUGACCAAUCAAUAGCAACUUCCACAUCACCCAGGAGUUGCCCAGGAGAGGAGGUGUUCAUUUCACCUCUGUCCCAAGAGUUUUCCCAGCUCCUCAUCCAACCCACUCCAUGUCAGAAACGGUCCAGAGCACUUGAAGGGCCACACACACACACACACACACACCCCACACACACAUACACACCUGUACUAAGUAGAAAAUAGUGUCCUGCAGACACAAGGGUAGUGUAGGGGUUAUCCCCACAUAUGUUUGAGGUGAGACUAGAUAGAACCAGUAUAAAAUUUCCCACCAAGCUAGCACUGGGGCACAUGGGACACUCAUAAACACACACACAGAUAUUCACCUCCAUGCCUACCCCUUAUAUUUAUACCCCUUGGACUUCAUAUAGAGCUUCACAAACUACAUUAAUAAACCAAAGGCAAGUUUUUAGAGAGAAAAAAACUCACCUUCUUCAAAAAUACAAUAGAAUAUUUACUCUGAAGAACUGACUUAGAAUAAUAUCAAGGUCUCAUCUGAAGUAGUUAUUAUAAUAAAAAUUCUGAGUACAUCCUCCUUAUUUAUCAAAUGUUUGGCACACUUUAUUGAGAUCAAGGAGCACUUCUGGAGCCAGAGGAUGCCGGGCACAGAAGGGCUAAACACUGACACCCACUGACUUGGUGGGGGAGGGGGUGUUGGAUGGUGUUAGACAAUGCCCGAGCAUCAGUGUUUCUGCCCAACAAGGGAUCUGCUUUCUAUUUAUUCAUACUCCAAUCCUUCUGGCAAGAGGCAAGCAGGAUUAAACCCAUUUCACAUCUCUGCAGCAAGAGCUGAGCACAAUAAUGACUGACCAAAGCCUGGACCAUAAAGAUGAGGUAAAGGCAGAGGGGGCAAAAUCCUGCAAGUAUAUGAACAGCCCAAGUCCUAAGGGAGUAGGGAAAAUGAAGUGAGCUGCACAGCCACGCACGUUGGAGAAAUCAAACAUCACUCUUUCACUUGACCAUUAAUUCCUAGGCACGCUCAUGCUUCAGGAAUACUGCACUGUGGGAACAGAAGUCACACCAUCAGCAGCUGUUGCCCUCAUAGAGGUUAGUAUCAAGUACAAACGACACAGUCAGCAAAGCAAUUACAAUACUGUGGAAUAUAAGCUGGUGGGCAGGGCAGGCCUCCCUGGAGCGCCCUGUUAUGGAAACACCCUGGAGAUAGACAGGACAUAGUGCAGGGUGGAGAGUGGCAGGUAAGGACACUUACCUUCAGAAGUAACUUCUAAGCUGACGCCUAAAGGAUAAGUAAGUGUUUUGCAAGUAAAGGCGAUUUGAUGAGUGAAUCAGGCAAUUGGAACACUCAGAGCUUUGACACUAGAGGACCAAGAGGAAGAGCAAAUCCGUGGACAUAUAUGGUUAUGUCCCACAAUUUUGUGGGUUUGAUGUUGAUGCCUUUGUUGCUGUUGUUCAUUACGGCCCACGAUGAAGGUUUCACAUGAAAAUUCAGAUUUCUGACUUCUCUUGAAAUUCCCUCUAGUAACAGUUGGCUAGAACUGAACAUGAUUGCUCCUUUAAACUGAGCCUGAUUUGCCCCA